RNAcentral lists this microRNA (21 nucleotides) under Fragaria vesca subsp. vesca. Its description in RNAcentral is "fve-miR11290". The record is from miRBase by way of RNAcentral. Lineage: Eukaryota; Viridiplantae; Streptophyta; Magnoliopsida; Rosales; Rosaceae.
UCGUCGACAUCAAAGGGCACC